Molecule: ribosomal RNA, 490 nt
Filed under: uncultured bacterium
Lineage: Bacteria
Description: partial 16S ribosomal RNA
Rfam family: Bacterial small subunit ribosomal RNA
Source: RNAcentral
GAUGAACGCUAGCUACAGGCUUAACACAUGCAAGUCGCAGGGUAACAUGAGGCAAGCUUGCUUUCCUUGAUGACGACUGGCGCACGGGUGAGUAACGCGUAUCCAACCUUCCCAUAACUACGGGAUAACCCGUUGAAAGACGGCCUAAUAACGUAUGAUAUCGUUUGCUGACAUCAAAUAACGAUUAAAGGUUUAGCGGUUAUGGAUGGGGAUGCGUCUGAUUAGCUUGUUGGCGGGGUAACGGCCCACCAAGGCGACGAUCAGUAGGGGUUCUGAGAGGAGGGUGCCCCACAUUGGAACUGGGACACGGUCCAAACUCCUACGGGAGGCAGCAGUGAGGAAUAUUGGUCAAUGGGCGAGAGCUUGAACCAGCCAAGUAGCGUGCAGGACGACGGCCCGAUGGGUUGUAAACUGCUUUUAUGUGGGGAUAAAGUGCGUGGCGUGUCAUGCAGUGCAGGUACCACAUGAAUAAGGACCGGCUAAUUCCGUG